GAACUUGAGGGGCGCAUUUUGAAGUAAAUUUCUAUUUAUAUUCUCCUCCUUUAUUUUUACCCCCUUUUUUAUGUAAAAAAGUUUUUGUUUGGUAUUUUGAUAGUAUUAAAAUAACAUGAUGUAAGAUAAGUCUCCCAUGUAAAGGAUUUUGGAUGAUGAUACCAUAAUUGGCAGCUAUACUAGAUGUUGCACUUUUUUGUCCAAAUAAACAAUUAAAUUAAUAAACUAACUGUUGCAUCUGAUGGGUUUCCAUUUGACAAGCUGGUUAUCUGUUGCGUAUAAUCUGCUUUAGACAACUAGGAUUUGUGGU
This 310-nucleotide unclassified non-coding RNA is filed under the name Hevea brasiliensis (rubber tree). Lineage: Eukaryota; Viridiplantae; Streptophyta; Magnoliopsida; Malpighiales; Euphorbiaceae. The record is from RNAcentral.